Neodiprion fabricii is the source of this 230-nucleotide long non-coding RNA. RefSeq lists it as uncharacterized. NCBI's taxonomy places the organism in Eukaryota, Metazoa, Arthropoda, Insecta, Hymenoptera, Diprionidae. The transcript is spliced from 3 exons. The record is from RefSeq and is a predicted model, not a curated record.
AAAGUCCGUCAAUGGAACGGUCUACUGACUCCGAAGGAUCUCUACUGGAUGUGGAUGAAACUUUGGAAAGAAGUAAGGAGAUUCUAGGAUCACCAUUCUACGAAGAAAAACUGCGUCAGCUGUCAACUGGCCAAUUAAUUAACAGAGCUUCUCGGUGAAAUGGAAUCCUUGGUUGGAGCGCUCAGCGAAACUUUGAUAGCUGAUUCUGUGCCACACCUAGUGAUCCACUA